GGUCCCGUAGCUCAGCAGGAUAGAGCAUCAGAUUCCUAAUCUGAGGGUCGCAGGUUCGAAUCCUGCCGGGAUCGCCA
Molecule: transfer RNA, 77 nt
Filed under: Chelativorans intermedius
Lineage: Bacteria; Pseudomonadati; Pseudomonadota; Alphaproteobacteria; Hyphomicrobiales; Phyllobacteriaceae
Also listed under: 8 other names
Description: tRNA-Arg
Rfam family: tRNA
About the family: Transfer RNA (tRNA) molecules are approximately 80 nucleotides in length.
Source: RNAcentral